ACUUUCAUCUGGAGCUCCACCUCACACUGGACUCCCGCUGGCAUCCUACAUGUAGACAGCCCCUUCUUGCAUAAAAGAACAUCGAUCAACCCUUCACGAUUGAUUUCUACCUUGAUUGUGCCUGUCUUCUCCAUCUUUAAUCUUGAUCACCACUGUCGCAAUCUGGACUCUGGUACCACCCAACUCUGAUACCAAUUAUUGUGAUGUCACUUGCUCUGAUACCACUUGUUGAAGAUCCAGACCAUCCAUUG
This 251-nucleotide long non-coding RNA is filed under the name Elaeis guineensis (African oil palm). RNAcentral describes it as "long non-coding RNA (EGUI_LNC007663)". The record is from RNAcentral. Lineage: Eukaryota; Viridiplantae; Streptophyta; Magnoliopsida; Arecales; Arecaceae.